CGCCGCCCGACUCCGCCGGCGCUGCUACUACUGUUGCUGCCGCCGCCAUCACCACCACAUCGUCUUCCCAUCUCUCACUUCACUCUCUUUCUCUUCUCGACUGCUUUUCUCUUUGUUUUUUCGUUUUUCGGGUUCUUUUUUCUUUCUAGGAAAAAUAUAACAAAUUUUAAAAUUAGGAAAAUUUGGACGGGCAAGGAGGAAUGAGCAAGGAUUAGGAUUUGGAUAAAGAUAAGGGAGAUUGUAUGGUUGUGAUUAGUAUGAGGAUGAGGAUGAGAGGAAAGAGGAGGAGGAAGAAGAAGAAGAGAAAAAGAAAUAGUAUAAAAUUCACCUAAAAAGUACAAUUUUGGCGUAAAGAGUGUAACUCUCAUCCUAAAAAAUGAUAUUUCAGUCCCAAAAAGUGCAACUUUUAUUUAAAACAAUGCAAUUUUUUUUUAAACAGUAUAAUUUUUUUUUAACUGUAUAAUUUCAUCAUCUUCUUCCUUCUUAUAUGAUUUUUGGUCUUUUCUGUAGAAAAUACAUAA
This 521-nucleotide long non-coding RNA is filed under the name Ananas comosus (pineapple). RNAcentral describes it as "long non-coding RNA (ACOM_LNC016447)". The record is from RNAcentral. Lineage: Eukaryota; Viridiplantae; Streptophyta; Magnoliopsida; Poales; Bromeliaceae.